CCAGAAGGCCGGACGGCCGCCGCCCUUGCAAAAGGGGGGAGGAAAGUCCGGGCUCCCUGAAAACACGGUGCCGGAUAACGUCCGGGCACGGCGGCCUUGGCCACCGUGACGGCCAGUGCAACAGAGAACAUACCGCCCGCGCAUUUCGGUGCGCAGGUAAGGGUGAAAAGGUGCGGUAAGAGCGCACCGCGUUUCCGGUAACGGAAACGGCAGGGUAAACCCCACCGGGAGCAAGACCAAAUAGGGAAAGCACGCGGGCAACCGCAGGGCCUGUUUUCAGCCUGCUUUCCGGGUCGGUCGCUGGAGGCGCCGGGUAACCGUCGCCCUAGAUGAAUGGCCGUCACCCCGCAAGGGGGACAGAACCCGGCUUACAGGCCUUCUGGUUUU
Molecule: RNase P RNA, 387 nt
Filed under: Rhodospirillaceae bacterium
Lineage: Bacteria; Pseudomonadati; Pseudomonadota; Alphaproteobacteria; Rhodospirillales; Rhodospirillaceae
Also listed under: 1 other name
Description: RNase P RNA component class A
Rfam family: Bacterial RNase P class A
About the family: Ribonuclease P (RNase P) is a ubiquitous endoribonuclease, found in archaea, bacteria and eukarya as well as chloroplasts and mitochondria.
Source: RNAcentral